This 1141-nucleotide unclassified non-coding RNA is filed under the name Hevea brasiliensis (rubber tree). The record is from RNAcentral. Lineage: Eukaryota; Viridiplantae; Streptophyta; Magnoliopsida; Malpighiales; Euphorbiaceae.
CGCCCAACGGUAAAUGAAUAAAUAAACAAAUAAUCCCAUUUAAAAAACCUCACAAGCUUUUACUUGGUUGGUUUCACCUUCAACCAUUCAAUUUCGAAAUUAAAAUCUAAAAAUACAACAAAAUAGAAAAUUAUCACAGCAUAGAGAAUAAAUGCAAAAAAUCAUUAAACAAUAGUAAAAUCUAAUAACAGAAGUAUUCGGGGUAGAAAAUACAGUGCUCGUAGCUUAUGCAAGAUGGGAUAGUUAGUCCGUCCAAGUGCAAAGCUUAAAAUAAACAGGCUUAGUAUGAAUGGAAGUGGCCCCAUCUUACCUUUGUUAUGGAAAUAAAGAUUUUUUUUAAUUUUUAAAUUUCUAUAAUAUAAAUAUAUAAAUUUUUUAAUAUAAUUGAAGUUCGACAGAUCAAAUAUCCCAAUUAUGACAUGCCCACCAACUCAAAAUUUGGGUACCUUUUGAGACAUUCAUUCAAAAGCAUGAUUGGGAUGCCCAAUCAAUGGGGGCCAAAAGAAAAAAGGACACUUGCAUUAUAAAAUGAAGGGCCUAAUCAAAAUUCCAUCUUUUUUCUUUUUCUUUUAAUUUAAUCUCAUAGGCUAAAGAAAGAAAAGAAAAGGUGUGAAAUCUUUUGGAAAACCAAUUGGCAUAUGUGUGGUACUAAUCAUUUUUAGCACUAAAACCACCCACCACCUCAGAGUAAUCAUUCACUCCAUCCAUGUUAGACUAACCCAUCAAACCCUAAACACACAUUCCAUCCUAAUAAUCUUUUUAAAAUCCUCCAAGUAUUAAAUAAAAUUCCUUUCACGCUUCUCAUUGUGUAUCUUUUCAUGUUUAAUCAAAUAUAAAAUGGGCUCUUUGAUAUUUUUACUUGUGUUCUCUCACAAGUUCAACUAAAUAUGUCCACAAAGCCACUUUGAAAUCUUGUAACUCUUGAAUUAAACUUAAUCAAAUCAAUUUCUUCAUUCCAUAUAGAUUUCUCGUUCAUAUGUUGUAAAUCAUUCCCCCUUAAGAAAGUCGAAAUGUAUAAAAUUUAACAAUAAGCUUUUUAUUAUUUGAAAUCGAGGCUCACAAUUCCAUGUAUAUUGCCUCUGCUCUCACAUUGACAUUAAUUCAAUUUCCAAGCCAACAAAUUAAAUAAAUAAAUAAAAAG